CUUGUAUUUCUCAGAUUUUCCAAGAUACCAAAGGCUGCAAUCAAAAUUCACCAAUUUAAAUGUUUUAAGAAUUGAAAAACCCAUCUUGGUCAACCACUCACAAAUGGAUAUCUUUUUCUAUUUAUUAUAGACAUAAUUGCAUGAAUGCCCUUUUCAACCCAUCCCCUCAAACCGCCUACUUCCAUUCAAGCAUAUAAUGCUCACAUUUCACAGUCCAAUCAAUUCCCAAUGGAUCAAAGUCCCACCAUACUUUUUUUUUCUAGUUGAAUAUCCUGUUUCACUCAAAAAUACAUCAGACUAUGUUAAGCAAAAUCUCUUGCGAACAGCAUGACUUUAAUGUUAUAGCUCCAUACUCUUACUCUAUGCCAACAAUUUUCUCAUUUAUUCAGGGAUUAAAGGAUUUCCAUGAGAUUCUCUGUGAGCACCUGGAUCUGUGGGACCAGCAUGGAUCUGUCCGCUGCCCCCAGAGAGAGGAAAGCACAUCCACCUGGCUCUUGCCCAGAAACACUCCUCAAUGCCUGCCUUUAAGUCCAUUCUGAGGUCUGCACCACUGCUUCCAGAUGUAUCGGCUCAUAACUUCAUCCUCCAGCAGCCCAGACUCUGAUCAUGGAAGAACUUAGGCAACGAGUUUGACCUUCAGUCAGGACAGCAGCAAGUCUGUCUGAAACAUUCAGAUCAGCCUAUCAACGAGACAAAUUGAAACAACACUAUUUGUUCCUAAAACAUCUGAAUACCAGAUAUGUUGUUAUUUAAUAAUAUUUCUUGGUACAGUACAUUAAAUGGACCGGAAUAACCAAUAUUCUCCAAAGGAUGUCUGAGCUUGGCUCAAAUAAAAACUGCAUUUCUAAAAAGUACUGAUUAUUGGAUGGGAUUUGAGUCGGGAUAUUUGGUUGAGGUCUGUUUCAUGAACGGUGGAAAUAUUUGACUCACUUUAGCAGAUCUAAAAAAUAUGUUUCAUUUUAAUGAGAGAAUCCAGUGGAAUGCCAGACUGCUGCUUUGCCUCGGGAUUUUUGCUUGCUAUUAAUCAGGCAUGGCUAAGAUGAGUUUAAUGCAAAGCUCUCUAGCUCCCCCGAGUGAUUAGAAAAUGUAACUGCUUAUUUUACCAUUUGUAGCCAUUGAAAAGUAUCCAUAUAUUCUAACAAAAUAAAAUGCACAAAUAGCCAGUUUCAUUACAAAACAUUUACAACAGCCUCUGUUAGAAGCAUAAAAUGGAGCUGAGUAGAUGUACAUGUGGCUUCUUCUUCUUCCUCUUCUUUUUUUUUUUUUUUUUUGCUGUGAAAUCUUGACUGAUUUUUAUUAAGUAAAUGUAAGAAUAACUUUUAUAUUGUUACUAAUAUUUCAAGAUGAACAUUUACUGAAGCAACUUGAGAGAAAAAAACAUGUAAUGUUAAAAUAUAAUGAAUGUAAUGUUAAAAAACAUGUAAUGUUAAAAUGUAAGUAUCAAAUAAUAUAUGAUACAUCAGGCUUUUGAGGAAUGUUUAUUUGUGCAUCACUCAGUCAUUAUUGUCUUGCAUUGCAUUUUUAUUGUGCCCUCCCCCCCCAACACACACACACACACAAAAAAAAAAAAAAACAUAAAAAGAAAUCAUAAAAGUAUUUUAAGCAUUUAAGUAUCAUUUUUCUGAAACAUAUUAUAAAGUGACAACUGAUUGUUUAAAGUAUUUUAAGUAGUCUAUUAUACUGUUAUAAAGAUCUCACUGAUUCACAUUACAAGCAAUCAGAAUUUCAUCCUACUUUUUGGUUAUAUAAAUAUGAGCAAGAUUUUGUUAGGUGUUAUAAAAAAUUGUCCUUUCAGUUUCCUUUUCCUAAACUAGUAUUCUUCUAUUAUUCCCCCACAAGUCACAUAAGGGAGGGCAAGAGAUAAAAAUGCAGAGAUGUGAGUCUCAGUGGUGUAAUUGUACAGGCCUUGUGGAGCUUGCCCAGUUAAGCUGAUUUAGAGUCCCUCUUGAAUAGACUGUCAUUAUGCUGCAAAAAGAAGAAAAAAAAGAAAUCUUGUCAUCCAGUGAAAAAUAAAAUAAAACGGAUAUUUACUUUGAGCAAAACUUAAUUGAAUAUUGAGACUUAAUAUCAAAUUUUAUUAUUUUAUUUUCAACAUUAUUUAGCUGUAUUCUGGUAUUGCUGUAUCUCUCCACUAGAUGGGAGAAGACACCAGUGCUUACUGAGCUGCACUAUAGACAUCCAACACAGUACCUUCAUUAAUAUAUGUCAGUCUAAUAUGUGCAGCUCAAAGUGCAUUUAAAGUCAACAUUGACCUUGUUUACUCUAAUAAAUAUCCCCUUUCUUAUUAUACAUACAGUAUGACAUAAAAAAAAAAAACUUUGCUGAUUUACAUUGAGAUAUUCCUGAAAGUAAACUAAAAAAAUGGGUGUCUAUAGUGUUUCAACGGGGGUAUUUGUCAAAUUAUUAUAUUAUUAUAAUUACUAUUUUGUUUACUUAGAAAACAAUAGUAAUAAUAUAUGAUACAUCUUUGAGGAAUGUUUAUUUGUGCAUCACUCAGUCAUUAUUGUCUUGCAUCCCCCCCCCCCCCCCCACACACACACACACAAA
Molecule: long non-coding RNA, 2547 nt
Organism: Cyprinus carpio carpio
Lineage: Eukaryota; Metazoa; Chordata; Actinopteri; Cypriniformes; Cyprinidae
Source: Ensembl